RNAcentral lists this ribosomal RNA (907 nucleotides) under Laricifomes officinalis. RNAcentral describes it as "partial large subunit ribosomal RNA". Lineage: Eukaryota; Fungi; Basidiomycota; Agaricomycetes; Polyporales; Laricifomitaceae. The record is from RNAcentral.
GGAAAAGAAACUAACAAGGAUUCCCCCUAGUAACUGCGAGUGAAGCGGGAAGAGCUCAAAUUUAAAAUCUGRCGGUCUCUGGCCGUCCGAGUUGUAGUCUGGAGAAGUGCUUUCCGCGCUGGACCGUGUACAAGUCCCUUGGAACAGGGCGUCAUAGAGGGUGAGAAUCCCGUCUUUGACACGGACYACCAGUGCUUUGUGAUGCGCUCUCAAAGAGUCGAGUUGUUUGGGAAUGCAGCUCAAAAUGGGUGGUAAAUUCCAUCUAAAGCUAAAUAUUGGCGAGAGACCGAUAGCGAACAAGUACCGUGAGGGAAAGAUGAAAAGCACUUUGGAAAGAGAGUUAAACAGUACGUGAAAUUGCUGAAAGGGAAACACUUGAAGUCAGUCGCGUCGGCCAGAACUCAGCCUUGCUCUUUUGCUCGGUGCAYUUUCUGGUUGACGGGCCAGCAUCGAUUUUGACCGUUGGAUAAAGGUUGGGGGAAUGUGGCACCUUCGGGUGUGUUUAUAGCCCUCGGYCACAUACAACGGUUGGGAUCGAGGAACUCAGUACGCCUUUGUGGCCGGGGCCUGUCCCACGUACACGUACUUAGGAUGCUGGCGUAAUGGCUUUAAAUGACCCGUCUUGAAACACGGACCAAGGAGUCUAACAUGCCUGCGAGUGUUUGGGUGGAAAACCCGAGCGCGCAAUGAAAGUGAAAGUUGAGAUCUCUGUCGUGGAGAGCAUCGACGCCCGGACCAGACCUUCUGUGACGGAUCCGCGGUAGAGCAUGUAUGUUGGGACCCGAAAGAUGGUGAACUAUGCCUGAAUAGGGUGAAGCCAGAGGAAACUCUGGUGGAGGCUCGUAGCGAUUCUGACGUGCAAAUCGAUCGUCAAAUUUGGGUAUAGGGGCGAAAGACUAAUCGAACC